This 321-nucleotide long non-coding RNA is filed under the name Musa acuminata (dwarf banana). Its description in RNAcentral is "long non-coding RNA (MACU_LNC007832)". The record is from RNAcentral. Lineage: Eukaryota; Viridiplantae; Streptophyta; Magnoliopsida; Zingiberales; Musaceae.
CCGAUCCGGUGAGUAAAAACAAGGACAUAAGAUCAAGUAUGAGAAGCAGCAGUCGGUCUCCUAUAGUAGUAGCCCUAAGUCUGUUUGUAAUCAGUUCUAUUCUCAAAGGGCAGGUGUUUCUAUGCUCUUGAACGACAGAUCAGUAGUAGCGUACAAAUAACAUCCCUAACAGAAGUCGGAACUCAACUAAUAAGUCUAAGAAUCCAUCUGUAAAUGUGGAAUGCAAUACAAGGGGAGUGAAUUGUCAAAAGUCAUUGAGUGAGUCUCAAUACACCGAAAGGGAAUCAUAAUAGAGUGCGUAGGACUUGGCGUAAGGAAAGC